This 447-nucleotide ribosomal RNA is filed under the name uncultured bacterium. RNAcentral's name for it is "bacterial SSU rRNA". It matches the Rfam family "Bacterial small subunit ribosomal RNA", at positions 330 to 793 of the family's 1533-position model. The record is from RNAcentral.
UCCAGACUCCUACGGGAGGCGGCAGUGGGGGAUAUUGCACAAUGGGGGGAACCCUGAUGCAGCGACGCCGCGUGGGUGAAGGAGCGUUUCGGCGCGUAAAGCCCUAUCGGCAGGGAAGAAGGAGGACGGUACCUGACUAAGAAGCCCCGGCUAACUACGUGCCAGCAGCCGCGGUAAUACGUAGGGGGCAAGCGUUAUCCGGAUUUACUGGGUGUAAAGGGGGCGCAGACGGCAGCGCAAGCCAGGAGGGAAAGGCCGGGGCCCAACCCCGGGACUGCUCUUGGAACUGCGCGGCUGGAGUGCAGGAGGGGCAGGCGGAAUUCCUGGUGUAGCGGUGAAAUGCGUAGAUAUUAGGAGGAACACCAGUGGCGAAGGCGGCCUGCUGGACGACAACUGACGGUGAGGCGCGAAAGCGUGGGGAGCAAGCAGGAUUAGAUACCCGGGUAA